UGCAGAAUCCCGUGAACCAUCGAGUUUUUGAACGCAAGUUGCGCCCGAAGCCAUUCGGCCGAGGGCACGUCUGCCUGGGCGUCACGU
RNAcentral lists this ribosomal RNA (87 nucleotides) under Astilbe sp. Vo75. RNAcentral describes it as "partial 5.8S ribosomal RNA". It matches the Rfam family "5.8S ribosomal RNA", at positions 73 to 154 of the family's 154-position model. Rfam says of the family: 5.8S ribosomal RNA (5.8S rRNA) is a component of the large subunit of the eukaryotic ribosome. It is transcribed by RNA polymerase I as part of the 45S precursor that also contains 18S and 28S rRNA. Lineage: Eukaryota; Viridiplantae; Streptophyta; Magnoliopsida; Saxifragales; Saxifragaceae. The record is from RNAcentral.